UGUUUGCAUGGUAACUGCCAAGCUAUUUUCCAUAAAGGUACUGGCCCUGCCAACUGCCAUCUUACUCCUUUUGCUCCAUCUUGUUGGAUGGCUACACACUACAUCGUAGGUUCAGAAAGAUUUCCAGAAGUGCCAAGUUUACUGAACCUGAGGAUAUUAAAGUUCUUCAGCAGCUGGUAAUAAGAAAGCAGAUAUCUGUGGAGAGCAAUGACACCAGUGUUCAUCAGAUUCAUUUAGUGGUCUUGGUGAGUGAGUGAAUUGGUUUGCCAUGUCACAAUCACCAUAUCCUUUGCUUCAUGUUGGGCUAGUCCACAAUAUAUUACUGUUCUAUGUACCACACACAUGUGCCACAGAUGGUCACUUUCAAUUUCAGAGCUCAAAUGUAAUAAAUUCAGCACAUUAAUAUUUGGCUAAGAUUAAGUACUGGGAGGCUACCACGGAAAAGCCAUCAGUCAAGUUCAUCUCUAACCAGGAAGUUGUGAUUCCAUUGCUACAAAAUAAACCUUUG
Hyaena hyaena (striped hyena) is the source of this 508-nucleotide long non-coding RNA. RefSeq lists it as uncharacterized. The record is from RefSeq and is a predicted model, not a curated record. Lineage: Eukaryota; Metazoa; Chordata; Mammalia; Carnivora; Hyaenidae. The transcript has 3 exons.